GGUAUACACAUUAUAAGUUUUUGUGUCGGUCCAAUAAAGCCUACACAAUAUAACAUUACACGUGGUCCUUCAUUCAACACUAUCAUAAACUACUUUUGCUCUAAAAAUCCUAAUUGCGAUAGUGAUGUUGCUCGUUUUUGGAAUCUCAAUCUUGAAUAAUUAAUUUUGGAAUUUUUCUCGUUGUAAAGUUUACGUCAGACUGUACAAGGAACAGCCUCCUCAUGUGAGGGUGCUGCGAAUGGUGCCGUGCAUACGGCAACGUCCUUAAUUUUGGGAUGAUGAAGUCGGCACACAUGUCGGUACUUAAAAGUGUAAGAGGGGACCAAGGGUUUGUUUUGGCUUUUUCCAAUUC
RNAcentral lists this long non-coding RNA (352 nucleotides) under Olea europaea (common olive). Its description in RNAcentral is "long non-coding RNA (OEUR_LNC010436)". The record is from RNAcentral. Lineage: Eukaryota; Viridiplantae; Streptophyta; Magnoliopsida; Lamiales; Oleaceae.